ACCUACGGGGGGCAGCAGUGAGGAAUAUUGGUCAAUGGUCGGGGGACUGAACCAGCCAAGCCGCGUGAGGGAUGAAGGUACAGAGUAUCAUAAACCUCUUUUGUCAGGGAACAAAGGCGGGGACGUGUCCCCGGAUGAGUGUACCUGAAGAAAAAGCAUCGGCUAACUCCGUGCCAGCAGCCGCGGUAAUACGGAGGAUGCGAGCGUUAUCCGGAUUUAUUGGGUUUAAAGGGUGCGCAGGCGGUCUGUUAAGUCAGCGGUCAAAGCCCGGGGCUCAACCCCGGCCCGCCGUUGAAACUGGCAGU
Molecule: ribosomal RNA, 305 nt
Filed under: uncultured bacterium
Lineage: Bacteria
Description: bacterial SSU rRNA
Rfam family: Bacterial small subunit ribosomal RNA
Source: RNAcentral